Molecule: transfer RNA, 64 nt
Filed under: Placopecten magellanicus (sea scallop)
Lineage: Eukaryota; Metazoa; Mollusca; Bivalvia; Pectinida; Pectinidae
Description: tRNA-Leu
Source: RNAcentral
GUGGGGGUGGCAGAUGAAUGCGUUCGUUUUAAGCUCGACAGAUGGGCUAUAGGCCCUCCCCAUU